UAAAUAUGAAGCUAAAGGAAAAUAAAAAAGGUAAAGCAGAUGUUUAUGGAAGUCAGGGUACAUGUCCUAAGGCAGAAGAAUUUUUCAGAAAAACGGAGAACUUUUUCUUUAAAAACAACUGAGCAAAUCAAGCACACAAAACAGUGUCACUGUCCUUUAUCAUGCAUAAUCUUGAUCUCUGAAGCAGCACAUUUAAGGCUUCUCUGCUCAGGUGCACCCUGAAUAUGGCUGGACAGCACUUCUAGUCACAAAAACAGGAUUGGACCCAGAGUUGAACAAAACAGACAAGGUUCCUGACUUCGAGGAGCUAAUGGGGAUGAAGACUGUAAACAGCAACUAAACAAGAUGAACACACUGCUCGAGAUUACACAGCGAGGAAGCAGGGGAGCCAAGGAUAAAACCCAUAUCUUCUGGCCACAGUACAAGUUACUCUGCUAUAUCAUUAUGCUUUGAUCCUCUAAUUUUAGGGUCUUAGGGGAGCCCAAAGGGUGAAUUAACACAAGGCAUGGGAGGUGUCUGGGUGUAUGAGUAUCCAAUCCUCAAUGACCUGCCUCCACCUCCAACCUCAUUUCCUGCCAUCUGCUAACAGGAAUCCAAUGCUUUCACCAUGCCGAACUGACAGCUUCCAGACAUGCUCUUCUGUGCCUUCCAAAGUUUCCUUAUGUUGUUCCUCCAGCUGAGAAGGCCUUGCUCUACCUAGCCAUUCUCCAGGGCCCGGUACAAGCUUCUCUUUUGCUGUAGAGACUUCCUUAACCCAUCUGGAUAUGUUUGACCAUGCCCUCUUUCAUUGACAUCUCACUCGGCCCUACAUUUUUAUUAUACUCAUCUCAUGAUGUCAUUCUUAUGGUGGUGGCACCUAUAUCGUCCACUGGGCCAGGCAGUGGUCAAGACCGGAAAUCUCUGUGCUUCUAACCCCCAGCACAGUGCCUGGCACAUAGUAAGUGCUGAGGAAAUCCUUGAUGAAUGAGUAGAUGGUUGAGUUAACAAUGGAGAAGAAAACAUUCCUGAGCAGAGACCACCCCCACCCUUGAUCUUCUGGGAGAACUGCCUUUGUAGAAUAGGGAACAAAAAGGGCAGGCAUCAAAGGGAUACAAUGGGUAAAACAUUCUUUCCUGUUCUCUCUGGUUCCUUCCUUUUUAUUUUUCUUCUUGCUAUUGGAACAAAAAUGAAGAGUACAUCAUAAGCAAAGCUGUAUUUUCUGUUUAUUGCCACCAGGUUAAUAACAGUAAUGGUGCAGGAAGAAAAUGAGGUGUUAUGUAAAAUCCUGCAUUGCAGAUUUUGCUGCUGAUGUAAAGAACUCAAUAAAGUGUAACACUUUAAUCAUAGAGAUAAAAAUCACACAGCAGCUUUCCCACAGGCUCCAGGAGCCCAAGACAAAAUAGUUGUGGGGAAAU
This is a long non-coding RNA of Felis catus (domestic cat), 1394 nucleotides long. RefSeq lists it as uncharacterized. The record is from RefSeq and is a predicted model, not a curated record. The transcript is spliced from 3 exons. NCBI's taxonomy places the organism in Eukaryota, Metazoa, Chordata, Mammalia, Carnivora, Felidae.